GGAGGGCACAGAGAUGAAUAAGAGGCCCUGGCAGCGCAGAGAGAGGGGAGAAAUGGAGUGGUAGCUGGUGGCAAGCCGUUGUUGCUGGCACAGAAGCCCUGGAAAAGGCAGCCUGAAAGCAGAGAGGACGGAGGACAUUCUGCGAGAGGUGAGCUCGACCGGUGGCGGUGGCAGGUUGUGGAAGGCCCAGCAUGCUUGGGCUGAGACAGAGAUGAGUGGAACUGGAGGAUAUCUUGCCGGCACAUAGACCUGAGGAGAGGGAGACACACAAUCAGGUGAAGAACAGAGAGGUGACGGUCGGACGCCUGGUUUGGGAGAUGAGAGACCUGGUAUGCACUUGAACCUAAGGCAACGGCAGGCGGAGUUCGGAGCUCUGCCCUUGCAUUUGGCUGCCAGAGAGGAGUGGUGGAGAUCGGGCGUCAGGAGGACGCCGCCGGCUUCACAAUUUUAAUGGACUAUUUUUGGGACUUUUAUACAACUUUGUAUAGCAUUUUUUACUUUUAGUGUUUUAGCGGACUAUAUCAAUAUUUUAUUUGACUCUUUUAUUUUAUUUUAAUAAUUGUUGUCCCUGGCCAGGGUAUUUUACUGUGUUUUGGUGUGUGCAAUAAAUCAUAUUCUUAAGAACCUUUUUUUUUUUUGGCUCUGCCACUGCUCCUCCCAUUUGGAAGGGUCCUUCUUAAAGCAAAAACCUGAUAACCCCAUUUUUUACAUUGGCUUGGUUUUAUCUGUUUAAAGAUUUUUUUUUUUUGUUAAUAUGACCAAGUGGUCAGAGGGUCUAAAUAGAUCUAAUAAAAUGACAACGCUACCUAGAGGAAUUUCACCCCCAGGAAAUAUAAAAUCUUUUAAGAGCAAAUAAAACGGGUCGCACAGGUUCAAAGAUGCACACCAAGGCAGGCUGGCUCAAAUAUUAAUACAGUUUUGUUUAUAAUUAUAGAAAUAAAAUAAAGAAUAAAACAGUAAGAAAAUUGAAUGUAGCGUUGUUGUUGACAGCGUCUUAAUUACAAUAAAACAAUCAUUGAACUAGGACUUACCAGCAGCCAUGGACCCAAAAGAAAAUCACACAGAGAAAUCACUACAGCCUGCACCCAGUACCACACAAAAAAGGAAAGUAUGAAAAUGACCCACCACCUACGGUCCCAGGGCCACUGGUGAGUCCUCCGUUCACUAUAAAAAAAAAUAAAAGCACAGGACAACCGGUUAAAAGGGUAAAAGAACACUGAGCCUCACACUCACUAUAUAUCAUUAAAAAAAAUAAAAUAAACUUCAAUCUUUAAUAAAACAAAUCACACACCCACAAACACAUGCACACAGCGCAGACUGGAGGACUUGCACUUCGCGAGUCAAACAGCAGCUCGUGUUGGUUAUAAUUGUCCAGCUUCAAUCGCAGUCCGGUACAGCUCCCCAGAAACUGGAACUAGCACAACACCCGAGCAGAGCAUCACUCUAGCUCGACCACAGAGGCGUGAGUGCAAGUAACAGGACAGAAUUAGCUGAGUAAAACCAGGUGAACCAAGAAAAGGUAGGCCCAAUUAAAAACAGCAGCUCCAACCAGGAGGAGCCCUAAAACAGCAGCUGGGCAGGCGUUUCGAUCCUCCAAUUGAUGCUACACAGAUCGCCACUGAGAGGUUAUGGCAGCAAUCAAAUCCUAAGAAAAAGAUAAAUGUAACCGUAGCCUUGUUUAAUUGGGAGUAAUAGUAAAUAUAAUUUACCCCAGGACCGGAGAUGCUAUACUGCGCUGCUGAUAAUAAUCGGAGCACCUCUCUCCGUGGUGGCUGGAGUAGAAAGGAAUAGAAAUGGCUACGCUACAAACGGGGCCGCAAAAGUAUUACUAUUAACCCAAAAGCCACGAGGGAAUCAGAGGACAAGCGAGAGCCUACCUGUAGCUGUCAUACAACCUGAUUAAUUUGCUGGAUUAAUUCAAAGGAGUGUGCCAGCAUUUACUGCUGCGUUUUACCAGAAGCACGGGAGGAAUGAACCAGAAGGAGACCAGCUUACCCUUAUACUGAAAGGCGCCACUCUGCAAUCAAUGUACAGGUGGGUUCCCCAUUAAUCCAGUCACCUAAAGACCAGCGCGAGCGCAUGAGCGAUAACAGGGCAUUAGAGCAAGCAAGGGCGAGUGAGAGAGAGAGAGAGAGAGACGAGUAGCCCAUCCGGCUACAUUAAGGACUAAGGAGGCUCUUCUAGAUGUUUUCUCCCAAAGUUUAAUCUGGCCUUUAUGGUUUUGCUGUCCUUCCUUUGGCCAAGCUAAAAACACCUCACUUUAACAAAUUUCUCUUUGGAUCUCAUUUUGGGAGUUUG
This is a long non-coding RNA of Oreochromis niloticus (Nile tilapia), 2298 nucleotides long. NCBI's taxonomy places the organism in Eukaryota, Metazoa, Chordata, Actinopteri, Cichliformes, Cichlidae. The record is from Ensembl.